This 465-nucleotide ribosomal RNA is filed under the name Vreelandella stevensii. Its description in RNAcentral is "partial 16S ribosomal RNA". It matches the Rfam family "Bacterial small subunit ribosomal RNA", at positions 338 to 795 of the family's 1533-position model. The record is from RNAcentral. Lineage: Bacteria; Pseudomonadati; Pseudomonadota; Gammaproteobacteria; Oceanospirillales; Halomonadaceae.
CCUACGGGCGGCAGCAGUGGGGAAUAUUGGACAAUGGGGGGAACCCUGAUCCAGCCAUGCCGCGUGUGUGAAGAAGGCCCUCGGGUUGUAAAGCACUUUCAGUGAGGAAGAACGCCUGGUGGUUAAUACCCAUCAGGAAAGACAUCACUCACAGAAGAAGCACCGGCUAACUCCGUGCCAGCAGCUGCGGUAAUACGGAGGGUGCGAGCGUUAAUCGGAAUUACUGGGCGUAAAGCGCGCGUAGGUGGCUUGAUAAGCCGGUUGUGAAAGCCCCGGGCUCAACCUGGGAACGGCAUCCGGAACUGUCAAGCUAGAGUGCAGGAGAGGAAGGUAGAAUUCCCGGUGUAGCGGUGAAAUGCGUAGAGAUCGGGAGGAAUACCAGUGGCGAAGGCGGCCUUCUGGACUGACACUGACACUGAGGUGCGAAAGCGUGGGUAGCAAACAGGAUUAGAUACCCGGGUAGUC